RNAcentral lists this unclassified non-coding RNA (418 nucleotides) under soil metagenome. Its description in RNAcentral is "partial contains 5.8S ribosomal RNA, internal transcribed spacer 2, and large subunit ribosomal RNA". The stretch from base 1 to 120 matches the Rfam family "5.8S ribosomal RNA", at positions 35 to 154 of the family's 154-position model. The record is from RNAcentral.
GAUGAAGAACGCAGCGAAAUGCGAUACGUAAUGUGAAUUGCAGAAUUCAGUGAAUCAUCGAAUCUUUGAACGCACAUUGCACUCUCUGGUAUUCCGGAGAGUAUGCUUGUUUGAGUAUCAGUAAACACCUCAAAUCUCUUGUUUCUUGUGAAUAAGAGAAUUGGACUUGAGCAAUCCCAACUCUUGCAAAAGAGGCGGGUUGCUUGAAAUGCAGGUGCAGCUGGACAUUCUUCUGAGCUAAAAGCAUAUUUAUUUAGUCCCGUAAAACGGAUUAUUACUUUUGCUGCAGCUAACAUAAAGGUUGAAUGGCCAAUAUGGCUGACUGAUGCAGGAUUAACAGAGAAUUUAUUCUUUGUAAACUCGAUCUCAAAUCAAGUAAGACUACCCGCUGAACUUAAGCAUAUCAAUAAGAGGAGGA